This is a long non-coding RNA of Cercocebus atys (sooty mangabey), 1790 nucleotides long. RefSeq lists it as uncharacterized. The transcript is spliced from 3 exons. The record is from RefSeq and is a predicted model, not a curated record. Lineage: Eukaryota; Metazoa; Chordata; Mammalia; Primates; Cercopithecidae.
GGGCACUCUGUCAAAUCAUACACGGGUGCUGUGAGUCCACAGUGGGGCCGACUCUCCAACCUGGGUUGGCCUUAAGGACCAGUUCAAGCAGAGGGUCCAUGUGUCCAGCAUGUUGUCUCUGAGGAUUGAGAACCUGGCCCCUGAAGACAGUGGGCAGUACAUGGCCAUGAUCUACUUAACUGGGGGACAAUUAUCUGGCCAGGUUUUCUACCUCACUGUCUAUGGCUGGAAGACCGGAACACAGUGGCAUAAACACAGCACAUUGCAGCUUCAACUUUCUGGCUCAAGCGAUCAUACCACCUCUGCCCCCACAAGUAGCUGGGAUUACAGAGCCUGUGCCUCAUCCUGAGAUCCUGGCCAAUUCGCUGUCUAUCACACCAGGCUUGCGUAACAUCACCCUGGAGUGUACGGCUCCAGGAACCACAGAGGACCUGAAUGUGACUUAGGAGAGCAAGGGCCUCCUCGGAGAGCUGGAGCAGAGAGAAACACCAGGACCAGCCCCCGACUCCUGGACCCUGGCUGUGAACCUGCCCCUGAGCCAGAGGAACAGCAGUCUCACCUGUGUGGUCAGCAACCAGGUGGAUCAGAGAGAUGUAACCUUACCUUGGGGAAGCCUGUGUCAAGGUGAGGGGUGAGUGUAGCCUGCAGGAUAGGAGGGGCUUCCUGAGCUCAGGCAGCACUGGGGUUUAAUGGUUCUGGGCUCUAUUCUCCACCAUGUGCAUUAGCACCACCUUCCCCCUGCUCACCACACAUAGCAGUGUGGGAGUCACAUCCACCUUGCUUCUGCCCUUAACCAUCUCUCCCACCGAUGCCCUCCUCCCCACAACCCCACCAUGUCCUUGUUGGGAAAGACAGCAGGCUUCCAGGAGCUCUCCCACCCCAUCCAUCCUCCACUGGGCAUCCAGAAUGGGCUUUGGGAAAAGCAGGACGGCUUGUGCCAUUGUCUGUGUCAUCUGUGAGAACCUGAUUCCAGCCACUCUCUGUAUGAUUCAGAGCUUAGAUGCACCUCUGUCCACGUUGCUAGUCUCAUCUGCUCUCUUCACAACAAACUGCUUGCCAUAGUUCCUUGAAUGCGUCCUGCCAUUGUAAGCUUCUGAGCGUCUGCACAUGCUGGCUUUUCUGUAUCAGCAAGUCCUAUGUCCUUCACUUCUUCUUCAUGGGGUGAAGACCAUGUAAAGGCUGCAUGUGUGGUUUACAAUUUUCUUAAUAAGUUUGAACAAGGGCUUCCUAUUUUCAUUCUGCAUAGGGCCUUUUCAGUUAUGUAUCUGGUCCUGCAAGUAGGCAGCGAUCCUUUAGGGAAUGUCCAUGGCACCCCACACUGAGUAGUAGUGGUGGGGUUAUGUCUUUGCUCUGUAGACUGCGAUGUCCUUAGGCAGAUGCCACCAUCAUGUUUUCCUUUGAAUCCCUGUGCCAAGUACAGCUUCUGGCAAAGUUUGCUCACAACUGGUGUUCAUUGGAUGAAUGAAUGACUUGGUACCCUGGUGCAGCCACAGCCUCUCUAACCUUUCCUCCAGGAGCUGCUGGAGAACUCUGAUGUGUCAGCAUCCCUUUAAACCACCCGUUACCUUCUCCCCUGUCCUCCAUCCUGGAGUGUUCAGCACUUAGCAUGACCACAAGGCCCUCUGGGCACAGACUCCUGCCUCCCUCUGACUCUCCUUGCCAUGGCUCCUCCCUGCCCUGUUCCUUUCCUGCUGCAGUGGGGUGCGGGCAACUCCCAGGGCUGGUGUUUUGACAUGGCAGUUUCCUAAAUGUGGUGCUCCUCCUUCCUGGAAUGCCCCACCCUGAAGAUC